RNAcentral lists this ribosomal RNA (395 nucleotides) under uncultured bacterium. RNAcentral's name for it is "bacterial SSU rRNA". It matches the Rfam family "Bacterial small subunit ribosomal RNA", at positions 29 to 422 of the family's 1533-position model. The record is from RNAcentral.
AUUGAACGCUGGCGGCGUGCCUAACACAUGCAAGUCGAGCGGUAACAGGUGUAGCAAUACAUGCUGACGAGCGGCGGACGGGUGAGUAACGCUUGGGAAUCUGCCUAUUAGUGGGGGACAACCCGGGAAACGUCGGGCUAAUACCGCAUACGCUCUACGGAGGAAAGCCGGGGACCGCAAGGCCUGGCGCUAAUAGAUGAGCCCAAGUCGGAUUAGCUAGUUGGUAGGGGUAANGGCCUACCAAGGCGACGAUCCGUAACUGGUCUGAGAGGACGACCAGUCACACCGGAACUGAGACACGGUCCGGACUCCUACGGGAGGCAGCAGUGGGGAAUAUUGGACAAUGGGCGAAAGCCUGAUCCAGCGACGCCGCGUGGGUGAAGAAGGCCUGCGGG